ACUCUAAGCGGUGGAUCACUCGGCUCAUGGGUCGAUGAAGAACGCAGCAAACUGUGCGUCAUCGUGUGAACUGCAGGACACAUGAACAUCGACAUUUUGAACGCAUAUCGCAGUCCAUGCUGUUAUGUACUUUAAUUAAUUUUAUAGUGCUGCUUGGACUACAUAUGGUUGAGGGUUGUAAGACUAUGCUAAUUAAGUUGCUUAUAAAUUUUUAUAAGCAUAUGGUAUAUUAUUGGAUAAAUAUAAUAAUUUUUAUUCAUAAUAUUAAAAAAUAAAUGAAAAACAUUAUCUCACAUUUGAAUGUGAAAAACGAAGAGAAAUAUUUUCUUUUUCAAUCAAAUAAUACUGAGAAAUGUCUAGCAUAAAAAAUUGAAAUAUUUUUCAUCUAGAAUUGUCUCUUAUUAAUGAUUCGGAAAUAGAAAAAUCUUGGUUAUGUUAUUAUUCUUCGUUGGUUCGUUAAAAAUGGAUAAAUAAAAACUUUGCAUACAAGAAUUAAUAAAAAUGUUAUAACGAAUUUAAUUAAAUGUUUUAUCAUUAUAUAUAAAGAAUUUAUGGCAAGAUAAAGUUAUAUACAACCUCAACUCAUAUGGGACUACCCCCUGAAUUUAAGCAUAUUAAUUAGGGGAGGAAAAGAAACUAACAAGGAUUUUCUUAGUAGCGGCGAGCGAAAAGAAAACAGUUCAGCACUAAGUCACUUUGUCUAUAUGGCAAAUGUGAGAUGCAGUGUAUGGAGCGUCAAUAUUCUAGUAUGAGAAAUUAACGAUUUAAGUCCUUCUUAAAUGAGGCCAUUUACCCAUAGAGGGUGCCAGGCCCGUAUAACGUUAAUGAUUACUAGAUGAUGUUUCCAAAGAGUCGUGUUGCUUGAUAGUGCAGCACUAAGUGGGUGGUAAACUCCAUCUAAAACUAAAUAUAACCAUGAGACCGAUAGUAAACAAGUACCGUGAGGGAAAGUUGAAAAGAACUCUGAAUAGAGAGUUAAACAGUACGUGAAACUGCUUAGAGGUUAAGCCCGAUGAACCUGAAUAUCCGUUAUGGAAAAUUCAUCAUUAAAAUUGUAAUAUUUAAAUAAUAUUAUGAGAAUAGUGUGCAUUUUUUCCAUAUAAGGACAUUGUAAUCUAUUAGCAUAUACCAAAUUUAUCAUAAAAUAUAACUUAUAGUUUAUUCCAAUUAAAUUGCUUGCAUUUUAACACAGAAUAAAUGUUAUUAAUUUGAUAAAGUGCUGAUAGAUUUAUAUGAUUACAGUGCGUUAAUUUUUCGGAAUUAUAUAAUGGCAUAAUUAUCAUUGAUUUUUGUGUUUAUUAUAUGCACUUGUAUGAUUAACAAUGCGAAAGAUUCAGGAUACCUUCGGGACCCGUCUUGAAACACGGACCAAGGAGUCUAACAUAUGUGCAAGUUAUUGGGAUAUAAACCUAAUAGCGUAAUUAACUUGACUAAUAAUGGGAUUAGUUUUUUAGCUAUUUAUAGCUAAUUAACACAAUCCCGGGGCGUUCUAUAUAGUUAUGUAUAAUGUAUAUUUAUAUUAUUUAUGCCUCUAACUGGAACGUACCUUGAGCAUAUAUGCUGUGACCCGAAAGAUGGUGAACUAUACUUGAUCAGGUUGAAGUCAGGGGAAACCCUGAUGGAAGACCGAAACAGUUCUGACGUGCAAAUCGAUUGUCAGAAUUGAGUAUAGGGGCGAAAGACCAAUCGAACCAUCUAGUAGCUGGUUCCUUCCGAAGUUUCCCUCAGGAUAGCUGGUGCAUUUUAAUAUUAUAUAAAAUAAUCUUAUCUGGUAAAGCGAAUGAUUAGAGGCCUUAGGGUCGAAACGAUCUUAACCUAUUCUCAAACUUUAAAUGGGUAAGAACCUUAACUUUCUUGAUAUGAAGUUCAAGGUUAUGAUAUAAUGUGCCCAGUGGGCCACUUUUGGUAAGCAGAACUGGCGCUGUGGGAUGAACCAAACGUAAUGUUACGGUGCCCAAAUUAACAACUCAUGCAGAUACCAUGAAAGGCGUUGGUUGCUUAAAACAGCAGGACGGUGAUCAUGGAAGUCGAAAUCCGCUAAGGAGUGUGUAACAACUCACCUGCCGAAGCAACUAGCCCUUAAAAUGGAUGGCGCUUAAGUUGUAUACCUAUACAUUACCGCUAAAGUAGAUGAUUUAUAUUACUUGUGAUAUAAAUUUUGAAACUUUAGUGAGUAGGAAGGUACAAUGGUAUGCGUAGAAGUGUUUGGCGUAAGCCUGCAUGGAGCUGCCAUUGGUACAGAUCUUGGUGGUAGUAGCAAAUAAUCGAAUGAGACCUUGGAGGACUGAAGUGGAGAAGGGUUUCGUGUGAACAGUGGUUGAUCACGAGUUAGUCGGUCCUAAGUUCAAGGCGAAAGCCGAAAAUUUUCAAGUAAAACAAAAAUGCCUAACUAUAUAAACAAAGCGAAUUAUAAUACACUUGAAUAAUUUUGAACGAAAGGGAAUACGGUUCCAAUUCCGUAACCUGUUGAGUAUCCGUUUGUUAUUAAAUAUGGGCCUCGUGCUCAUCCUGGCAACAGGAACGACCAUAAAGAAGCCGUCGAGAGAUAUCGGAAGAGUUUUCUUUUCUGUUUUAUAGCCGUACUACCAUGGAAGUCUUUCGCAGAGAGAUAUGGUAGAUGGGCUAGAAGAGCAUGACAUAUACUGUUGUGUCGAUAUUUUCUCCUCGGACCUUGAAAAUUUAUGGUGGGGACACGCAAACUUCUCAACAGGCCGUACCAAUAUCCGCAGCUGGUCUCCAAGGUGAAGAGUCUCUAGUCGAUAGAAUAAUGUAGGUAAGGGAAGUCGGCAAAUUAGAUCCGUAACUUCGGGAUAAGGAUUGGCUCUGAAGAUUGAGAUAGUCGGGCUUGAUUGGGAAACAAUAACAUGGUUUAUGUGCUCGUUCUGGGUAAAUAGAGUUUCUAGCAUUUAUGUUAGUUACUUGUUCCCCGGAUAGUUUAGUUACGUAGCCAAUUGUGGAACUUUCUUGCUAAAAUUUUUAAGAAUACUAUUUGGGUUAAACCAAUUAGUUCUUAUUAAUUAUAACGAUUAUCAAUUAACAAUCAAUUCAGAACUGGCACGGACUUGGGGAAUCCGACUGUCUAAUUAAAACAAAGCAUUGUGAUGGCCCUAGCGGGUGUUGACACAAUGUGAUUUCUGCCCAGUGCUCUGAAUGUCAAAGUGAAGAAAUUCAAGUAAGCGCGGGUCAACGGCGGGAGUAACUAUGACUCUCUUAAGGUAGCCAAAUGCCUCGUCAUCUAAUUAGUGACGCGCAUGAAUGGAUUAACGAGAUUCCUACUGUCCCUAUCUACUAUCUAGCGAAACCACAGCCAAGGGAACGGGCUUGGAAUAAUUAGCGGGGAAAGAAGACCCUUUUGAGCUUGACUCUAAUCUGGCAGUGUAAGGAGACAUAAGAGGUGUAGAAUAAGUGGGAGAUAUUAGACCUCGGUUUGGUAUCGUCAAUGAAAUACCACUACUCUUAUUGUUUCCUUACUUACUUGAUUAAAUGGAACGUGUAUCAUUUCCUAGCCAUUAUACGGAUAU
Molecule: ribosomal RNA, 3521 nt
Filed under: Drosophila melanogaster (fruit fly)
Lineage: Eukaryota; Metazoa; Arthropoda; Insecta; Diptera; Drosophilidae
Description: eukaryotic LSU rRNA
Rfam family: Eukaryotic large subunit ribosomal RNA (bases 573-3521)
Source: RNAcentral